RNAcentral lists this ribosomal RNA (408 nucleotides) under uncultured bacterium. RNAcentral's name for it is "partial 16S ribosomal RNA". It matches the Rfam family "Bacterial small subunit ribosomal RNA", at positions 28 to 526 of the family's 1533-position model. The record is from RNAcentral.
GACGAACGCUGGCGGCGUGCUUAACACAUGCAAGUCGAACGAAGUGGCGAACGGGUGAGUAAUGCGUAAUCAACCUGCCCUUCAGAGGGGGACAACAGUUGGAAACGACUGCUAAUACCGCAUACUGAAGGAGGGGAUUGCGUCUGAUUAGCUAGUUGGAGGGGUAACGGCCCACCAAGGCGAAGAUCAGUAGCCGGGCUGGGAGGAUGAACGGCCAAAAUGGGACUGGGACACGGGCCAGACUCCUACGGGGGGGAGGAGUGGGGAAACUUCCGAAAUGGACGGAAGUCUGACGAAGCAACGCCGCGGUGGUGAUGACGGCCCUCGGGUUGUAAAGCUCUGUUAAUCGGGACGCGGUACCGGAAUAGAAAGCCACGGCUAACUACGUGCCAGCAGCCGCGGUAAUUC